This 553-nucleotide ribosomal RNA is filed under the name Patelloida saccharinoides. RNAcentral's name for it is "partial large subunit ribosomal RNA". It matches the Rfam family "Bacterial large subunit ribosomal RNA", at positions 1848 to 2606 of the family's 2925-position model. The record is from RNAcentral. Lineage: Eukaryota; Metazoa; Mollusca; Gastropoda; Lottiidae.
GGAGGUCUCGUCUGCACAAUGACCUGCGGGUUCAAUUGCCGCGGUACCCUGACCGUGCUAAGGUAGCGUAAUCAUUAGCCUAUUAAUUGUUGGCCUGUAUGAAUGGCAUAACGCUGGUGGCGCUGUCUCUACGGUGAUCUAUUGAAUUUAACUUCUUGGUGAAAAGGCCAAGAUGCUUCUAAAAGACGAUAAGACCCUGUCGAACUUUAGGCUAACCGUCGAUGCGGUGUUUAGUCAUCUUCGUCGGCGUCUAACCUUUGGUUGGGGAAACCGAGGACCAAACAAAGCGUCCGUCCCCCCCACUGCUUAAGCCAAAAGGUUAAUUAUAAAAAGGGGUUAGUAUAAAGAUCUGGCGGGAUGAGAGUUAUUAAGGUUGAUCCGGAAACUUGUGUUUCGACUAUGGGAAAAGUUACCGCAGGGAUAACAGCGUAAUCCUCUCGGAGAGACCACAUUAAUGAGGGGGUUUGCGACCUCGAUGUUGGCUUGGGGCGUCCUAGAAGUGCAGGGGCUUCUAACGGUUGGUCUGUUCGACCAUUAAUGCCCUACGUGAUCU